This is a non-coding RNA of Caretta caretta (loggerhead turtle), 617 nucleotides long. NCBI's taxonomy places the organism in Eukaryota, Metazoa, Chordata, Testudines, Cheloniidae. The record is from RefSeq and is a predicted model, not a curated record.
UUCCAGACCAUGGAAGGAAAGGAAAAGGGGGGUGUUGUACAUCUCAAGGGCCCUGCUAGACACGCUGAGGCAUUCAGUGAUACAGGAAUUUCAUACAAUUAACCAGAAUUCAUAAGUUGUACAGAGACAGAUUCCCCAAAUCAUCUCAGUUGAGUUUUUCAAGGAAUUUGGCAGAUUGCUAGGAAAGAAGGAAGUCAAAACCUUCUGAUAGACACUUCCUCUGACUGGAUACGUCUGUCAUCUUGGCUCAUGCAUAAAUAUGAGGCAACUCUUAGACAGUCCGUCUUCUUGUAGCCUCUCAUCUUUCUCUGCACUUGCCAUGGCUGGAGAAAUAGUAUAUGCAGAUUUAAACAUUCCUGGAGCUUUUUCCACUUCACAGUCACUGCAUCCAUCUCAGCAUCCCAAUAGCGCUCUGUGCCCGCGCUGGCAUAGGAUUGCUCUCUGCCUCGGAUGGGCCGGGAACAUCAUCCUGGCGGUAGCUGUGAUUGUGUUUGGUGUUUGGGGACAGACCAGAGGACAGAGAACAACAAAUGGAACUGAAUGUAAUUCCAGCCUGAAGGAUUCCCAGUCCUGCUCGAAACAAAGUUUGUAUCCAAAGCCAGACAACAACUUAACAG